GCAUUAAUUUACCAGAGGUCGGGUCAGGCUGUCUUAACGCAGGCAGAGGGGUGUGGCAGAUCUCCAACCGCUCGGGGUCCCGUGAUUUCCAUUAAUGAAUUCGCACACUGGCGUUACCACUCAACACACCGACGGUAAGUAUGGAAAUAAGAAAAUGAGAAUUAAAACUUCCCCAUUGUAAUGCUUUUUCUUUUUUUGUGUGUGAAUAGAAUUUCUGGGAGGUAAAAGUUAUUUCUCAAAAUCUUUGUAUUCUUCACAUUACCUAAUCAGAUGACUUGCAGUUAA
Molecule: long non-coding RNA, 285 nt
Filed under: Homo sapiens (human)
Lineage: Eukaryota; Metazoa; Chordata; Mammalia; Primates; Hominidae
Description: non-protein coding lnc-DHRS7-2:4
Source: RNAcentral